GAUGAACGCUAGCGGCAGGCUUAACACAUGCAAGUCGAGGGGCAACACGGGUAGCAAUACCUGGUGGCGACCGGCGCAAGGGUGCGUAACGCGUGAGCAACAUACCCUAUACAGGGGGAUAAUCCAGGGAAACUUGGUCUAAUAUCCCAUAGGAUUUACAGAUGUCAUCAUCUAUAAAUUAAAGCUUCGGUGGUAUAGGAUUGGCUCGCGUGACAUUAGCUAGAUGGUGGGGUAACGGCCUACCAUGGCCAUGAUGUCUAGGGGUUCUGAGAGGAAGACCCCCCACACUGGGACUGAGACACGGCCCAGACUCCUACGGGAGGCAGCAGCGAGGAAUAUUGGACAAUGGAUGGAAAUCUGAUCCAGCCAUGCCGCGUGCAGGAUGACGGCCCUACGGGUUGUAAACUGCUUUUCCCCGGGGCGAAUAACCCCCUCGCGAGGGGGAUGGCCGGUACCGGGGAAUAAGGAUCGGCUAACUCCGUGCCAGCAGCCGCGUAAG
This 499-nucleotide ribosomal RNA is filed under the name uncultured bacterium. RNAcentral describes it as "bacterial SSU rRNA". It matches the Rfam family "Bacterial small subunit ribosomal RNA", at positions 28 to 523 of the family's 1533-position model. The record is from RNAcentral.